This 252-nucleotide ribosomal RNA is filed under the name uncultured bacterium. Its description in RNAcentral is "partial 16S ribosomal RNA". It matches the Rfam family "Bacterial small subunit ribosomal RNA", at positions 524 to 776 of the family's 1533-position model. The record is from RNAcentral.
UACGUAGGGGGCUAGCGUUAUCCGGAAUUACUGGGCGUAAAGGGUGCGUAGGUGGUUUCUUAAGUCAGAGGUGAAAGGCUACGGCUCAACCGUAGUAAGCCUUUGAAACUGGGAAACUUGAGUGCAGGAGAGGAGAGUGGAAUUCCAUGUGUAGCGGUGAAAUGCGUAGAUAUAUGGAGGAACACCGGUGGCGAAAGCGGCUCUCUGGCCUGUAACUGACACUGAGGCUCGAAAGCGUGGGGAGCAAACAGG